This 268-nucleotide ribosomal RNA is filed under the name uncultured soil bacterium. RNAcentral describes it as "partial 16S ribosomal RNA". It matches the Rfam family "Bacterial small subunit ribosomal RNA", at positions 26 to 321 of the family's 1533-position model. The record is from RNAcentral.
AGAACGAACGCUGGCGGCAUGCCUAAUACAUGCAAGUCGAACGAACACUUCGGUGUUAGUGGCGCACGGGUGCGUAACGCGUGGGAAUCUGCCCUUGGGUUCGGAAUAACAGUUGGAAACGACUGCUAAUACCGGAUGAUGACGAAAGUCCAAAGAUUUAUCGCCCAGGGAUGAGCCCGCGUAGGAUUAGCUAGUUGGUGAGGUAAAGGCUCACCAAGGCGACGAUCCUUAGCUGGUCUGAGAGGAUGAUCAGCCAACACUGGGACUG